This 663-nucleotide ribosomal RNA is filed under the name uncultured Russulaceae. RNAcentral describes it as "eukaryotic LSU rRNA". The stretch from base 203 to 356 matches the Rfam family "5.8S ribosomal RNA". Lineage: Eukaryota; Fungi; Basidiomycota; Agaricomycetes; Russulales; Russulaceae. The record is from RNAcentral.
GAUCAUUAUCGUACAAUGGGGGUACGACGGCUGUCGCUGACGUCAAGUCGUGCACGCCCGAGUGCUCUCCCAUCCAUCUCACCCCUUUGUGCAUCACCGCGUGGGUUCCCCUUCCUCGGACGGGGUGCUCACGUUUUUAACAUCGAACACCCAUUUAAACGUAGUAUAGAAUGUUCUUUGCGCAAACAUGCGUGAUCAAUACAACUUUCAACAACGGAUCUCUUGGCUCUCGCAUCGAUGAAGAACGCAGCGAAAUGCGAUACGUAAUGUGAAUUGCAGAAUUCAGUGAAUCAUCGAAUCUUUGAACGCACCUUGCGCCCCUUGGCAUUCCGAGGGGCACACCCGUUUGAGUGUCGUGAACAUCCUCAACCUGCUUCGUUUUCUCCAAACAAAGUAGGCUUGGAAUUUGGAGGUUUUCUGCUGGCAUCCUACGAAGCCAGCUCCUCUCAAAUGUAUUAGUGGGAUCCGCUUUGCUAGAUCCUCGACGUUGAUAAGAUGCUUCUACGUCUUGGGUUUCGCUCAGGAAUGACCUGCUUCUAACAGUCCCAUCGGGGACAAYGUUCGAGAGCCGAUCACCCCGUGAACGGGGUGCGAAGCUUUUCGACCUUUCAUGCCUUGACCUCAAAUCGGGUGAGACUACCCGCUGAACUUAAGCAUAUCAUA